Molecule: long non-coding RNA, 765 nt
Filed under: Zonotrichia albicollis (white-throated sparrow)
Lineage: Eukaryota; Metazoa; Chordata; Aves; Passeriformes; Passerellidae
Description: lncRNA (ENSZALG00000007896.1)
Source: RNAcentral
CUACAAGAUACUGAAUCAGGCUUAGAUUUUUAAUUAUCGAACCCAUUUAACUACUGUUUUAUUUUCUGUGUGGGGGAAAAAAUUAGUAGUGUUCCAAAUUGCCAUAACAACAGGCUGCACUCCUUAAAACAAGAUAAGCUGUGUGUCAAAGUAAAACUGUUGCCAUGGUAACCAGCUGAAUAUUUAAAGUGCAGCAUCCUGGUUUAAUCAGUCAAAUUGUCCCUUUUCCAGAAAUCAACUACAUCAACAUUCUUCCAGCAGAAACAGUGAAAAAAAGGAAAAACAGAAGUUAAUAAAAAAUAAUUUCUGCCCUGUAUGUUUCCUUUCUGAGUGAUUUUGUUUCAGGAGAGUGUCUUAAAAUGCUUCUUUAUAACAAGAUUGCAAACACUGGAUCCUGUAUUUUAUCCUAGAAUUCUCAGAAAUUCUCUCAUCUGUUCAAGAUAUGCUUUCUCUUAACAGCCUUACUGAAAAAGAAAAAGCAGGACUUUGGUGAGGAUUUGCCAUUUCCUGAUGCAGUACCUCUAUGCGAGGUAGCAUGCAUCCUGCUACAACUUUCACUCCAAGCAGAGCCUGACCCAGGAGUGUUGCAGUGGGUAAUAUUCUUGUGGCAUGUGUAAGAAGGCGUUUUCUGCUGUACUGAUGCAGUUUCAUGAUGCAGCGCUCGCAGAGAGGAGGACCUGGCUGCAGAGAGAUCUCUGCCACGUGCCGGAUCUGCAGAUGCAUUGGGAACGUCUGCCUGUGUAAACACAGAUGCUAUUUUGCAAA